Molecule: ribosomal RNA, 517 nt
Filed under: uncultured bacterium
Lineage: Bacteria
Description: bacterial SSU rRNA
Rfam family: Bacterial small subunit ribosomal RNA
Source: RNAcentral
AAUAGAUACCCCGGUAGUCCUUGCCGUAAACGGUGUAUACUUGAUGUAGUUAGGCUCAACCCUAACUGUGUCGUAGCUAACGCGAUAAGUAUACCGCCUGGGGAGUACAGUCGCAAGGCUGAAACUCAAAAGAAUUGACGGGGGCCCGCACAAGCAGUGGAGCAUGUGGUUUAAUUCGAUGCAACGCGAAGAACCUUACCCAGAUUUGACAUACAGUGGACCGCUUCAGAAAUGAGGCUUUCCGUAAGGACCGCUGAACAGGUGCUGCAUGGCUGUCGUCAGCUCGUGCCGUGAGGUGUUGGGUUAAGUCCCGCAACGAGCGCAACCCUUAUUACUAGUUGCCAACAUGUUAUGGUGGGGACUCUAGUGAGACUGCCUGGGGUUAACCAGGAGGAAGGUGAGGAUGACGUCAAGUCCGCAUGGCCUUUAUAUCUGGGGCCACACACGUGCUACAAUGGUCGGCACAGAGGGCAGCAAGACCGCGAGGUGGAGCAAAUCCUAAAAACCGAUCUCAGUU